UAAGCUGCUCAUCUACUUUGAGCUAUAUGGCAUCGUGGAGGGAUGGUGAGGAGAGCUUGGAUGACGGCGUGUCCAUUGUUGGUGCGGAGAUAGACCUCUUGGUAAGUCAAAUUUAUCUCCAAGGGUUUGGUCUUCUGAAAUUUGCCCGAUGUGUUUCUAUUCAACCCCUGAUUUUUGUACAAUUCUUGCAAGAAAUCCCUGACACUGUAGUGGAUCCAUCUUUAUGUAGCUCAGUGUUGGAAUCCGAGCCGAAGCGCAUCUUCCAUGGUGAGAGUUCGAAGAAGAUGGUUGCUUUUGAAGGGUUUUUAACUGGGAGGAGAAUUCUAGGCUUUGUUGUACAUGCUUGGGAAGAAUUUAUAAUCUUUAGCUCUAUUGUGCACGUUUC
RNAcentral lists this long non-coding RNA (385 nucleotides) under Triticum aestivum (bread wheat). RNAcentral's name for it is "long non-coding RNA (TAES_LNC011329)". Lineage: Eukaryota; Viridiplantae; Streptophyta; Magnoliopsida; Poales; Poaceae. The record is from RNAcentral.